RNAcentral lists this ribosomal RNA (1269 nucleotides) under uncultured bacterium. RNAcentral describes it as "bacterial SSU rRNA". It matches the Rfam family "Bacterial small subunit ribosomal RNA", at positions 68 to 1348 of the family's 1533-position model. The record is from RNAcentral.
GUGAACACGGAGCUUGCUCUGUGGGAUCAGUGGCGAACGGGUGAGUAACACGUGAGCAACCUGCCCCUGACUCUGGGAUAAGCGCUGGAAACGGCGUCUAAUACUGGAUAUGUGACGUGACCGCAUGGUCUGCGUCUGGAAAGAAUUUCGGUUGGGGAUGGGCUCGCGGCCUAUCAGCUUGUUGGUGAGGUAAUGGCUCACCAAGGCGUCGACGGGUAGCCGGCCUGAGAGGGUGACCGGCCACACUGGGACUGAGACACGGCCCAGACUCCUACGGGAGGCAGCAGUGGGGAAUAUUGCACAAUGGGCGCAAGCCUGAUGCAGCAACGCCGCGUGAGGGACGACGGCCUUCGGGUUGUAAACCUCUUUUAGCAGGGAAGAAGCGAAAGUGACGGUACCUGCAGAAAAAGCGCCGGCUAACUACGUGCCAGCAGCCGCGGUAAUACGUAGGGCGCAAGCGUUAUCCGGAAUUAUUGGGCGUAAAGAGCUCGUAGGCGGUUUGUCGCGUCUGCUGUGAAAUCCGGAGGCUCAACCUCCGGCCUGCAGUGGGUACGGGCAGACUAGAGUGCGGUAGGGGAGAUUGGAAUUCCUGGUGUAGCGGUGGAAUGCGCAGAUAUCAGGAGGAACACCGAUGGCGAAGGCAGAUCUCUGGGCCGUAACUGACGCUGAGGAGCGAAAGGGUGGGGAGCAAACAGGCUUAGAUACCCUGGUAGUCCACCCCGUAAACGUUGGGAACUAGUUGUGGGGUCCAUUCCACGGAUUCCGCGACGCAGCUAACGCAUUAAGUUCCCCGCCUGGGGAGUACGGCCGCAAGGCUAAAACUCAAAGGAAUUGACGGGGACCCGCACAAGCGGCGGAGCAUGCGGAUUAAUUCGAUGCAACGCGAAGAACCUUACCAAGGCUUGACAUAUACGAGAACGGGCCAGAAAUGGUCAACUCUUUGGACACUCGUAAACAGGUGGUGCAUGGUUGUCGUCAGCUCGUGUCGUGAGAUGUUGGGUUAAGUCCCGCAACGAGCGCAACCCUCGUUCUAUGUUGCCAGCACGUAAUGGUGGGAACUCAUGGGAUACUGCCGGGGUCAACUCGGAAGAAGGUGGGGAUGACGUCAAAUCAUCAUGCCCCUUAUGUCUUGGGCUUCACGCAUGCUACAAUGGCCGGUACAAAGGGCUGCAAUACCGCGAGGUGGAGCGAAUCCCAAAAAGCCGGUCCCAGUUCGGAUUGAGGUCUGCAACUCGACCUCAUGAAGUCGGAGUCGCUAGUAAUCGCAGA